This 302-nucleotide long non-coding RNA is filed under the name Populus tremula. RNAcentral's name for it is "long non-coding RNA (PTRE_LNC000857)". The record is from RNAcentral. Lineage: Eukaryota; Viridiplantae; Streptophyta; Magnoliopsida; Malpighiales; Salicaceae.
AAAAAAAAAAAAACUUCAAAAGGCGGUUUCUUGGAUGCUACAAAGAGUAAUAAUGUCCUUUACUGUAUUUUAUUAGGCAUACAUAAAAGAUAUCUCUCUACGCUCGAUUGUUGUUCGUUCUGUGUGUAAAUGCAACAAACAGACAUCCUGAAGGCAUCCCCCCGAGAGAGGGCACAAAGAGCAAGAAAACUUGGACACACAUAACCAGUCCCUGUGUAUUUCCUUGCAGCAUUUAUGGCGUAAAAAUGGGUUGCUUGUCUUCUAUCCUUUAUAAGUUCUAGCUAUGAACAAACCUGGACAGG